UACGUAGGGGGCAAGCGUUGUCCGGAUUUAUUGGGCGUAAAGAGCGUGUAGGCGGCUAGGUAGGUCCGUUGUGAAAACUCGAGGCUCAACCUCGAGACGCCGGUGGAAACCAUCUAGCUAGAGUCCGGAAGAGGAGAGUGGAAUUCCUGGUGUAGCGGUGAAAUGCGCAGAUAUCAGGAGGAACACCGGUGGCGAAGGCGGGUCUCUGGGCCUUACCUGACGCUGAGGAGCGAAAGCGUGGGGAGCAAACAGG
Molecule: ribosomal RNA, 253 nt
Filed under: uncultured bacterium
Lineage: Bacteria
Description: partial 16S ribosomal RNA
Rfam family: Bacterial small subunit ribosomal RNA
Source: RNAcentral